This 69-nucleotide transfer RNA is filed under the name Ictidomys tridecemlineatus (thirteen-lined ground squirrel). RNAcentral's name for it is "Spermophilus tridecemlineatus (thirteen-lined ground squirrel) tRNA". It matches the Rfam family "tRNA". From Rfam's summary of the family: Transfer RNA (tRNA) molecules are approximately 80 nucleotides in length. Their secondary structure includes four short double-helical elements and three loops (D, anti-codon, and T loops). Lineage: Eukaryota; Metazoa; Chordata; Mammalia; Rodentia; Sciuridae. The record is from Rfam by way of RNAcentral.
GGGGUUGUAGCUCAGUGGUAGAGCUCUUGCUUUGCACGCGUGAGGCCCUGGGUUUGAUCCCCAGCACCA